GUGGGGAAUCUUGGACAAUGGGGGAAACCCUGAUCCAGCCAUGCCGCGUGAGUGAAGAAGGCCUUAGGGUUGUAAAGCUCUUUCAGCGGGGAAGAUAAUGACGGUACCCGCAGAAGAAGCCCCGGCUAACUCCGUGCCAGCAGCCGCGGUAAUACGGAGGGGGCUAGCGUUGUUCGGAAUCACUGGGCGUAAAGCGCGCGUAGGCGGAUAGUUAAGUCGGGGGUGAAAGCCCGGAGCUCAACUCCGGAACUGCCUCCGAUACUGGCUGUCUUGAGUCCGAGAGAGGUGAGUGGAAUUCCCAGUGUAGAGGUGAAAUUCGUAGAUAUUGGGAAGAACACCAGUGGCGAAGGCGGCUCACUGGCUCGGUACUGACGCUGAGGUGCGAAAGCGUGGGGAGCAAACAGGAUUAGAAACCCUAGUAGUCC
Molecule: ribosomal RNA, 425 nt
Filed under: uncultured bacterium
Lineage: Bacteria
Description: bacterial SSU rRNA
Rfam family: Bacterial small subunit ribosomal RNA
Source: RNAcentral